GGGCCAGACUCCUACGGGAGGCAGCAGUGGGGAAUAUUGCACAAUGGGGGAAACCCUGAUGCAGCAACGCCGCGUGAGUGAAGAAGUCAUUCGUGAUGUAAAGCUCUAUCAGCAGGGAAGAAAAUGACGGUACCUGACUAAGAAGCCCCGGCUAACUACGUGCCAGCAGCCGCGGUAAUACGUAGGGGGCAAGCGUUAUCCGGAUUCACUGGGUGUAAAGGGAGCGUAGACGGCCAUGCAAGCCUGGAGUGAAAGCCCGGGGCCCAACCCCGGGACUGCUCUGGGAACUGUGCGGCUGGAGUGCGGGAGGGGCAGGCGGAAUUCCUGGUGUAGCGGUGAAAUGCGUAGAUAUCAGGAGGAACACCGGCGGCGAAGGCGGCCUGCUGGACCGCGACUGACGUUGAGGCUCGAAAGCGUGGGGAGCAAACAGGAUUAGAUACCCUCGUA
Molecule: ribosomal RNA, 447 nt
Filed under: uncultured bacterium
Lineage: Bacteria
Description: bacterial SSU rRNA
Rfam family: Bacterial small subunit ribosomal RNA
Source: RNAcentral